This 160-nucleotide ribosomal RNA is filed under the name Acinetobacter baumannii. RNAcentral describes it as "partial 23S ribosomal RNA". The stretch from base 1 to 142 matches the Rfam family "Bacterial large subunit ribosomal RNA", at positions 2789 to 2925 of the family's 2925-position model. The record is from RNAcentral. Lineage: Bacteria; Pseudomonadati; Pseudomonadota; Gammaproteobacteria; Moraxellales; Moraxellaceae.
GAAGCCUACCUCAAGAUAAGAUUUCCCUAGGACUUUAUGUCCUCUAAAGAGCCGUUCGAGACUAGGACGUUGAUAGGUUGGAUGUGGAAGCAUAGUGAUAUGUGAAGCUGACCAAUACUAAUUGCUCGUGAGGCUUGACUAUACAACACCCAAGCAGUUG